ACGGAAGGCAGCGGAUAAGAAUAUUCCGCAAUGGACGAAAGUCUGACGGAGCGACGCCGCGUGGAUGAUGAAGGCCGGAAGGUUGUAAAAUCCUUUUAAGCAUGAAGAAUAAGCAGUGUAGGUAAUGACAUUGUGGUGACGGUAGUGCUUGAAUAAGCAACGGCUAAUUACGUGCCAGCAGCCGCGGUAAUACGUAAGUUGCGAGCGUUGUUCGUAAUUAUUGGGCGUAAAGGGCAUGUAGGCGGAUAUGCAAGCUUGGUGUGAAAGGCGGGAUCUCAACUCCCUAACUGCGUUGAUAACUGCAUAACUAGAGUGACUGAGGGGCAGGCAGAAUUCCAGGUGUAGGGGUGAAAUCUGUAGAUAUCUGGAAGAAUACCAAUGGCGAAGGCAGCCUGCCAGCAGAUGACUGACGCUGAGGUGCGAAGGUGCGGGGAGCAAACAGGAU
Molecule: ribosomal RNA, 445 nt
Filed under: uncultured Treponema sp.
Lineage: Bacteria; Pseudomonadati; Spirochaetota; Spirochaetia; Treponematales; Treponemataceae
Description: partial 16S ribosomal RNA
Rfam family: Bacterial small subunit ribosomal RNA
Source: RNAcentral